UACGUAGGGCGCAAGCGUUGUCCGGAAUUAUUGGGCGUAAAGAGCUCGUAGGCGGUUUGUCGCGUCUGUCGUGAAAGCUUGGGGCUUAACCCCAAGUCUGCGGUGGAUACGGGCAGACUAGAGGCAGGUAGGGGAGAACGGAAUUCCCGGUGUAGCGGUGAAAUGCGCAGAUAUCGGGAGGAACACCGGUGGCGAAGGCGGUUCUCUGGGCCGAAACUGACGCUGAGGAGCGAAAGCGUGGGGAGCAAACAGG
RNAcentral lists this ribosomal RNA (253 nucleotides) under uncultured bacterium. RNAcentral describes it as "partial 16S ribosomal RNA". It matches the Rfam family "Bacterial small subunit ribosomal RNA", at positions 524 to 776 of the family's 1533-position model. The record is from RNAcentral.